Molecule: long non-coding RNA, 912 nt
Filed under: Musa acuminata (dwarf banana)
Lineage: Eukaryota; Viridiplantae; Streptophyta; Magnoliopsida; Zingiberales; Musaceae
Description: long non-coding RNA (MACU_LNC001230)
Source: RNAcentral
AGAAGAAGAAGAAAAGAGGAGGUGGCUGCGGCAAGGGCUGCAGCGAGGAGCUGUGGGGCGUUGGGGAGGAGAAAGGAAGAAGAGGAGAAGAAGAAAAGAAGAAGAGGGAAAAGAAGAGAGGAGGAAGAAGAGGGAGAAGAGAAGAAUAGAAGAAGAAGAAAAAGAGAGGGAAGUGGGAGAGGAGCGAGAGGUGGCAGCAGCUAGGGCUGCAGCACCUCUGUUUCCUGCAGGUGGAAACAGAGGAGAGGUGUGGGGCAUUCGAAGAGGAGAAGAAGAAGAAGAGGAAGAGAAGAAGAAGAGGAAGUAGGAAGAGGUUAUGAUACCUCUGUAUCUUGUAGAGGAAAUAGAGGAGGUGUGGGGUGUCGGGUAGGAGAAGGGAAGAAGAAGAAGGAGAAGAAGGAAAAUAAGAAGAAGAGGAAGAGAAGAAGUAGAAGCGGGUGAAGAGGCGUCACCUUUGUUUUCUGCAGGAGGAAACAGAGGAGAGGAGGUGCUAUUCGUCGGGGAGAAGAAGGGGAGGAAGGAGAAGAAGAGAAGAAGAAGAAAGGAAGGAGAAAGAAGAGGAGAAGGGAAAGAAGUAGCUGCGGCUGCGGUUGUGGCAGCUGCAGCUGUGGCAGGGAAAGAGUAAGAGGAAGGAAGAAGGGAAGGAGAGGAAGAAGAGAAGGGGAAGAAGGGGCUGCGGCUGUGGCGAUGGCAGCUGCAGUUGGAAGAGAAGAAGGAGAGGAAGAUGAGCAGGGGAGGAAGAAGAGGCUGCGGCCGUGGCUGAGGCUGCGACUGCAGCAGUGCAGCUGGGAAAGAUGAGAAGGAAAGGAAGAAGAAGAGAAAGGAAAAGGGAAGAAGAGAGGAAGAGGAGAAGGGGAGGCAGCUGCGGUAGUGGCAGCCGCAGCUGGAAGAGAAGGAGAGGAAACAGAGUAG